CGGCCGCGGUACCCUAACCGUGCAAAGGUAGCGCAAUCACUUGUUCUUUAAAUGAGGACUAGUAUGAACGGCAUCACGAGGGUUAUACUGUCUCCCCCAUCCAAUCAGUGAAACUGACCCCCCCGUGAAGAAGCGGGGAUAUAAAUAUAAGACGAGAAGACCCCAUGGAGCUUUAAACUCAGUACCACCUGCCUUAACUAACAUCCUACUAACCAGGCAGUUUUGACUACUAGUUUUCGGUUGGGGUGACCGCGGAGUAAAACAAAACCUCCACGAUGAAAGGAACUGACUUCCUUAUCCAAGAGCCACAACUCUAAGAAUCAAACCAUUGACAAAACUUGAUCCAAAUAUUUUUGAUCAACGAACCAAGUUACCCUGGGGAUAACAGCGCAAUCCACUUCAAGAGCCCCUAUCGACAAGUGGGUUUACGACCUCGAUGUUGGAUCAGGGUAUCCUAGUGGCGCAGCCGCUACUAAAGGUUCGUUUGUUCAACGAUUAAAACCCUA
This 506-nucleotide ribosomal RNA is filed under the name Microhyla petrigena (pothole chorus frog). RNAcentral describes it as "partial large subunit ribosomal RNA". It matches the Rfam family "Bacterial large subunit ribosomal RNA", at positions 1928 to 2598 of the family's 2925-position model. Lineage: Eukaryota; Metazoa; Chordata; Amphibia; Anura; Microhylidae. The record is from RNAcentral.